UACGAAGGGGGCUAGCGUUGUUCGGAAUCACUGGGCGUAAAGCGCACGCAGGCGGAUCGUUAAGUCAGGGGUGAAAUGCCAAGGCUCAACCUUGGAACUGCCUCUGAUACUGGCGAUCUUCGAGUCCGGGAGAGGUGAGUGGAACUCCGAGUGUAGAGGUGAAAUUCGUAGAUAUUCGGAGGAACACCAGUGGCGAAGGCGGCUCACUGGCCCGGUACUGACGCUCAGGUGCGAAAGCGUGGGGAGCAAACAGG
RNAcentral lists this ribosomal RNA (254 nucleotides) under uncultured bacterium. RNAcentral describes it as "partial 16S ribosomal RNA". It matches the Rfam family "Bacterial small subunit ribosomal RNA", at positions 524 to 776 of the family's 1533-position model. The record is from RNAcentral.